UACGUAGGGGGCUAGCGUUGUCCGGAAUCAUUGGGCGUAAAGCGCGCGUAGGCGGCCAGAUAAGUCCGGUGUGAAAGUCACAGGCUCAACCUGUGAAUGCCGCUGGAAACUGUCUGGCUUGAGUCCGGAAGGGGCGAGUGGAAUUCCUGGUGUAGCGGUGAAAUGCGCAGAUAUCAGGAGGAACACCGGUGGCGAAGGCGGAUCUCUGGGCCUUACCUGACGCUCAGGCGCGAAAGCUAGGGGAGCGAACAGG
This 253-nucleotide ribosomal RNA is filed under the name uncultured bacterium. Its description in RNAcentral is "partial 16S ribosomal RNA". It matches the Rfam family "Bacterial small subunit ribosomal RNA", at positions 524 to 776 of the family's 1533-position model. The record is from RNAcentral.